GGGGAUUUAGCUCAGCGGCAUAAGCGCCUGCCUUGAAAGCAGGCAGUCGUGAGCGCGAUCCCCG
This 64-nucleotide transfer RNA is filed under the name Cavia porcellus (domestic guinea pig). It matches the Rfam family "tRNA". From Rfam's summary of the family: Transfer RNA (tRNA) molecules are approximately 80 nucleotides in length. Their secondary structure includes four short double-helical elements and three loops (D, anti-codon, and T loops). Further hydrogen bonds mediate the characteristic L-shaped molecular structure. tRNAs have two regions of fundamental functional importance: the anti-codon, which is responsible for specific mRNA codon recognition, and the 3' end, to which the tRNAs corresponding amino acid is attached (by aminoacyl-tRNA synthetases). tRNAs cope with the degeneracy of the genetic code in two manners: having more than one tRNA (with a specific anti-codon) for a particular amino acid; and 'wobble' base-pairing, i.e. permitting non-standard base-pairing at the 3rd anti-codon position. Lineage: Eukaryota; Metazoa; Chordata; Mammalia; Rodentia; Caviidae. The record is from Rfam by way of RNAcentral.